Molecule: small nucleolar RNA, 78 nt
Organism: Gigantopelta aegis
Lineage: Eukaryota; Metazoa; Mollusca; Gastropoda; Neomphalida; Peltospiridae
Product: small nucleolar RNA snR60/Z15/Z230/Z193/J17
Exons: 1
Source: RefSeq, a predicted model, not a curated record
GAGCCAUAUAUGAUGAUUACAUAGUUCAGCUGUAUUACUAAAUGAUGUUUAUUAUUUCGCUCCUAUCUGAUGUGGCAA